GUGCUGGAUGGGAUGAUGGCGUACUUUUUGUAGAACGGGCCGGCGAGUUACGGUCGGUAGCGAGGUUAAGGGAUUAUGUCCUGGAGCCGCAGCGAAAGCGAGUCUUAACAGGGCGUUUAGUUACCGGCUGUAGACCCGAAACCGGGUGAUCUACCCAUGGCCAGGGUGAAGCUCGGGUGAUGCCGAGUGGAGGCCCGCACCCACCGAUGUUAAAAAAUCGGGGGAUGAGCUGUGGGUAGGGGUGAAAAGCCAACCGAACCCGGAGAUAGCUGGUUCUCCCCGAAAUAGCUUUAGGGCUAGCCUCGGGGGUUCAGUUGCGGAGGUAGAGCACUGACUGGGCUAGGGGCCCAACAAGGUUACCGAACUCACUCAAACUCCGAAUGCCGCAACUUCAUACCCCGGGAGUCAGACUGCGGGUGAUAAGAUUCGUGGUCGAAAGGGAAACAGCCCAGACCGUCGGCUAAGGUCCCCAAGUUCAGACUAAGUGGUAAAGGAUGUGGAAUUGCACAGACAACCAGGAUGUUGGCUUAGAAGCAGCCAUACAUUUAAAGAGUGCGUAAUAGCUCACUGGUCGAGUGGUUCUGCGCCGAAAAUGUAACGGGGCUCAAGUCUGACACCGAAGCCACGGAACACGGAUGUGUUGGUAGGGGAGCGUUGUCUGCGCGCAGAAGCUGUACCGUAAGGAGCAGUGGAGUGCAGACAAGUGAGAAUGCCGGUAUGAGUAGCGAAAAGGAGGGUGAGAAUCCCUCCCGCCGAAAGCCUAAGGAUUCCUGAGGAAGGUUCGUCCGCUCAGGGUAAGUCGGGACCUAAGGCGAGGCCGAAGGGCGUAGUCGAUGGACAACAGGUUGAAAUUCCUGUACCACCAAGCAUCGUUUGAGUGAAGUGGUGACACAGAAGGGUAGGUCAUCACCCGGAUGGAAGAGGGUGUCCAAGCGCGUAGGGAGCAAGGUAGGCAAAUCCGCCUUGCGUAAUCCUGAGGCGUGAUGGGGAGGCGAAAUUAGUAGCCGAACUGAUUGAACCCAAGCUGUCAAGAAAAGCCGCUAGCGAGAUGUGAGGUGCCCGUACCGCAAACCGACACAGGUAGGCGAGGAGAGAAUCCUAAGGCGCGCGAGAGAACCCCUGUUAAGGAACUCGGCAAAAUGACUCCGUAACUUCGGGAGAAGGAGUGCCUAAGUAGUGUGAAGUUGAACAGAUGGAGCACGAACAGGCCGCAGAGAAAUGGCCCAAGCGACUGUUUAUCAAAAACACAGGUCUCUGCUAAGUGGAAACACGAAGUAUAGGGGCUGACGCCUGCCCAGUGCCGGAAGGUUAAGAGGAGAGGUCAGCGAAAGCGAAGCUUCGAAUCGAAGCCCCGGUCAAUGGCGGCCGUAACUAUAACGGUCCUAAGGUAGCGAAAUUCCUUGUCGGGUAAGUUCCGACCUGCACGAAAGGUGUAACGAUCUGGACGCUGUCUCAGCGA
Molecule: ribosomal RNA, 1459 nt
Filed under: bioreactor metagenome
Description: bacterial LSU rRNA
Rfam family: Bacterial large subunit ribosomal RNA
Source: RNAcentral